UCCAUCAAAAAAGAGAAAGAAAAACUAGACCAUCCGCUGAACCGCGCGUGACGGGUAGCGACCGACGCACAGGCACAGCCAAAAAAAGUUGCAAGCUAGCAAAAACGAACCCCACUUCGACGGCAGACUACCGCUGACCGCCGCCUUGAUCUGCUUCCGGCGCCACUACGCCGGCCAUGGGCUGUUCGUCUUCUCUGCCAGGUUGGCCUCCUUCUCACCAACAGGCCAAGGUCAGUAGGAUGUUGCCCUACGGGAUGGAUUAAGAUGGGGCGACUUUAGCCUUUCGAUUAACGGCUCAGGAGGCAGGUCAAUGCUGGUGUUGUUUGGGGGUAAAUCUUGGCGGGGACUAGCGACGGCGGCCCGGUAGCAAGUUGCUUAAUUGUUGAGGUGUUUGGUUCGUACUGUAUUUGCAAACAGUACUGGAGGCUUGGGCAAUAUCAACAACGAGAACUCUGCAACUGACUCAAAGAAUUUGAAAGUGAAGUUGGUUUUACUGGGAGAUUCUGGUGUUGGGAAAAGCUGCAUUGUUCUUCGCUUUGUCCGUGGUCAGUUUGACCCCACAUCAAAGGUAACUAUUGGUGCAUCAUUUCUGUCACAAACAUUGGCAUUGGAGGACUCCACAACAGUGAAGUUUGAAAUAUGGGACACUGCUGGCCAGGAGAGGUAUGCUGCAUUAGCACCUCUGUACUACAGGGGAGCUGGUGCUGCAAUCGUUGUCUAUGACAUAACAAGUGCAGAAUCAUUCAUCAAAGCACAAUAUUGGGUGAAGGUCAUCAUGGUGAAGUCGUCCUUUUCUUCAGGAACUCCAACGUACUUACGAAUAGGUAAGGGGGCAGCUCGGCUACGACAACAUGCUUAUGAGGGAAACAAUCUGGGGUUAACCCAUGAAUGAACAUAAGAUUAUCUUUCGAGCUGAACAUAUAGAAUACUUGCUACACAUUUCUUUUGGCCAAAGAUGAGACGGGAUGUUGAGC
This is an RNA transcript of Triticum urartu, 974 nucleotides long. It is a transcript of the gene named ras-related protein RABF1, with no coding region annotated. The record is from RefSeq and is a predicted model, not a curated record. Lineage: Eukaryota; Viridiplantae; Streptophyta; Magnoliopsida; Poales; Poaceae.